CGCGCGACAAGACGUAUCGAGUAUUCCGCGAAUAAUUAGGUUGCCGAUUGAAAUUCAAACGCGGGGGUGCUUUAACCGACGCCAUGAUGGAUUCGUCUUCAAUUCGAACGAGAUUUCACGAAGUGUGGCAAAAUUGAUAUUCAUGUUCGUUACCAGCGUUUGACUUUGGCCUGUUCUUGGUCUUGUGUUUCAAUAACAAGGGGCGAAUCGUCGCAGUGUCAAGAAGAACAGUAUUUCAGUGUCUAAUACUCUGAUCGGAAAGAAAAAAAUUCCAGGGAAGCACAGCCAUGCUGCUUCGACCUUGUCUCCUAUCCCACUCUUUCUUUCAGCGACUUUGUGACCGCGUGCAAGGCGGUCGGUCGAGUCAGUGUUUACACGUAGGUAGAAGUCUUCUUUAUUUUGAUACACAAUGGUAUCUAUCGAGUAGAUCUUCGUCUAAAUUUUAGGCAUACGCGUAGUAGAGUCAAUGUUUAUCGUGUAUUACUGGAAGAGGAGUAUUGAGCGAUGCUUAACAA
Long non-coding RNA from Hylaeus volcanicus, 515 nucleotides. RefSeq lists it as uncharacterized. Lineage: Eukaryota; Metazoa; Arthropoda; Insecta; Hymenoptera; Colletidae. The transcript is spliced from 3 exons. The record is from RefSeq and is a predicted model, not a curated record.